Molecule: ribosomal RNA, 342 nt
Filed under: uncultured bacterium
Lineage: Bacteria
Description: bacterial SSU rRNA
Rfam family: Bacterial small subunit ribosomal RNA
Source: RNAcentral
AGAGUUUGAUCAUGGCUCAGGAUGAACGCUAGCUACAGGCUUAACACAUGCAAGUCGAGGGGCAGCAUGUUGGUUGCUUGCAACCAAUGAUGGCGACCGGCGCACGGGUGAGUAACGCGUAUCCAACCUACCCUUGUCCAUCGGAUAACCCGUCGAAAGGCGGCCUAACACGAUAUGCGGUUCUCAGCAGGCAUCUAACGAGAACGAAAUGUGAAGGAGAAGGAUGGGGAUGCGUCUGAUUAGCUUGUUGGCGGGUAACGCCACAGGCGACGAUCAGUAGGGGUUCUGAGAGGAGGUCCCCCANAUUGGAACUGAGACACGGUCCAAACUCCUACGGGAGCA